Molecule: transfer RNA, 65 nt
Filed under: Creontiades dilutus (green mirid)
Lineage: Eukaryota; Metazoa; Arthropoda; Insecta; Hemiptera; Miridae
Description: tRNA-Leu
Source: RNAcentral
ACUAUUUUGGCAGAAGAAUGUAAUAAAUUUAGAAUUUAUUUAUGUAAUUUAUAUUACAAAUAGUA